UUUGUUUUGUUCCGGCAAGUUAAAUCUUUAAUUGUUAAAUACUAUAAAUAUUUAUUAUUUAUUCUAUUUUAUAUAGAUAUUAGGUAUGAGUGUUGAUUAAAUGUUUUUUGUUAAUUUGUAUUAGUUCAUUUUAUUAUGGGUGGCUAACUUUAGUGCCAGCAGCUGCGGUUAUUCUUAUACUUCCCAUUGAUUUGUUUUUUGGUUAAAAGGGUUUAUUUAAACAUAAGCUAUGUUUCAUUAGUUUGAUUACUAGGUUUAUAUUUAUUUAUGUAUGAUGUUAGUUUAAAAAAGACGCAUUUUUAUAUGUUUAUUAAUAAGUUAAAAUUUUAUUCCACAUUUUAGUGAAAGGACUUGGCAGUAAAUUUAUUUUCUUGGGGAUCAUGGGUUUUGAAAAAGAAAACACUCUUAAUAACUAAUUAAAGUAUAUAAUUAAUUAUGAAGUUAGUGUACGGUUGACCUAUUUAGAUAAGCUCAUUAGAGUUUACUUGUUUUAAUUCAAAUCAUUGUGCUGCAAUUACUUUAGAUAUAAUCUUUGAUACAUUUUUAUUUUAGGGUUUUGAAAUAACUCUUAAUUAGGACUAAGCAGUAAAUUCAAAAUGUAAUCAGUGAUUUUGAAGGAUAAAUAGGUUUUGGUACACACUGCCCGUCAAUCUCUUAGUUUUUGGGAGAUAAGUCGUAACAUGGUAAGUUUAUCUGAAGAUGAACUUUUAAUUAUGGCAGAAGCUUUAAAAUGCAUUAAGUUUAGAUCUUAAAGAUAGAUUUUUCUUAAUUAAU
This 774-nucleotide ribosomal RNA is filed under the name Dugesia ryukyuensis. RNAcentral's name for it is "partial 12S ribosomal RNA". Lineage: Eukaryota; Metazoa; Platyhelminthes; Tricladida; Dugesiidae. The record is from RNAcentral.